GAAUGCUGACAUAAGUAACGAUAAAGCGGGUGAAAAGCCCGCUCGCCGGAAGACCAAGGGUUCCUGUCCAACGUUAAUCGGGGCAGGGUGAGUCGACCCCUAAGGCGAGGCCGAAAGGCGUAGUCGAUGGGAAACGGGUUAAUAUUCCCGUACUUGGUGUUACUGCGAAGGGGGGACGGAGAAGGCUAUGUUGGCCGGGCGACGGUUGUCCCGGUUUAAGCGUGUAGGUGUGUGUUCCAGGUAAAUCCGGUUCACUUUAACACUGAGGCGUGAUGACGAGGCACUACGGUGCUGAAGCAACAAAUGCCCUGCUUCCAGGAAAAGCCUCUAAGCAUCAGGUAACAUCAAAUCGUACCCCAAACCGACACAGGUGGUCAGGUAGAGAAUACCAAGGCGCUUGAGAGAACUCGGGUGAAGGAACUAGGCAAAAUGGUGCCGUAACUUCGGGAGAAGGCACGCUGACACGUAGGUGAAGUGAUUUACUCACGGAGCUGAAGUCAGUCGAAGAUACCAGCUGGCUGCAACUGUUUAUUAAAAACACAGCACUGUGCAAACACGAAAGUGGACGUAUACGGUGUGACGCCUGCCCGGUGCCGGAAGGUUAAUUGAUGGGGUCAGCGCAAGCGAAGCUCCUGAUCGAAGCCCCGGUAAACGGCGGCCGUAACUAUAACGGUCCUAAGGUAGCGAAAUUCCUUGUCGGGUAAGUUCCGACCUGCACGAAUGGCGUAAUGAUGGCCAGGCUGUCUCCACCCGAGACUCAGUGAAAUUGAACUCGCUGUGAAGAUGCAGUGUACCCGCGGCAAGACGGAAAGACCCCGUGAACCUUUACUAUAGCUUGACACUGAACAUUGAGCCUUGAUGUGUAGGAUAGGUGGGAGGCUUUGAAGUGUGGACGCCAGUCUGCAUGGAGCCGACCUUGAAAUACCACCCUUUAAUGUUUGAUGUUCUAACGUGGACCCGUGAUCCGGGUUGCGGACAGUGUCUGGUGGGUAGUUUGACUGGGGCGGUCUCCUCCUAAAGAGUAACGGAGGAGCACGAAGGUUGGCUAAUCCUGGUCGGACAUCAGGAGGUUAGUGCAAUGGCAUAAGCCAGCUUGACUGCGAGCGUGACGGCGCGAGCAGGUGCGAAAGCAGGUCAUAGUGAUCCGGUGGUUCUGAAUGGAAGGGCCAUCGCUCAACGGAUAAAAGGUACUCCGGGGAUAACAGGCUGAUACCGCCCAAGAGUUCAUAUCGACGGCGGUGUUUGGCACCUCGA
RNAcentral lists this ribosomal RNA (1254 nucleotides) under Salmonella enterica. RNAcentral's name for it is "partial 23S ribosomal RNA". It matches the Rfam family "Bacterial large subunit ribosomal RNA", at positions 1292 to 2529 of the family's 2925-position model. Lineage: Bacteria; Pseudomonadati; Pseudomonadota; Gammaproteobacteria; Enterobacterales; Enterobacteriaceae. The record is from RNAcentral.